Molecule: long non-coding RNA, 227 nt
Organism: Felis catus (domestic cat)
Lineage: Eukaryota; Metazoa; Chordata; Mammalia; Carnivora; Felidae
Exons: 3
Source: RefSeq, a predicted model, not a curated record
UUCUUGUUGUCAAUAUGUCUCGAUGGCAAGUUGGUUGCAAGAGAACCGCAGCCUUCAUCUGAUAAAUCGCUAUUUUCUUCUGCCUGGGGAGUAACCAAGAGCCACAGUCAACCGUGUUCUCUUUGCACAAGUGAACCGUCUGUGAAGUAUAAACUACACAGCCUAAGGAAGACAAACUGAAGAAGAAGAAGAAGAAGAAGAAGAAGAAGAAGAAGAAGAAGAAGAAG